This 207-nucleotide unclassified non-coding RNA is filed under the name Hevea brasiliensis (rubber tree). The record is from RNAcentral. Lineage: Eukaryota; Viridiplantae; Streptophyta; Magnoliopsida; Malpighiales; Euphorbiaceae.
GGAUAGAGCAUUAUUAUCCACUGGAACUGAUCCUGCUACUAUAAAUCCAAAUCUAUUGCUUGAUGAGAUGUAUAUUGGAAGGUUAUGCAGACUGGCAAACAAUCUUGCAUUAGUUGGGCACACUUUUCUGGAAGACAAAACUACUGCUGCUAUUGGUCUUGAUAAAGUUGAUGAUCUUGUGGAUUUCUGGAACAUCACAGAAAUUGG